CUGAGGAGAAAUCUUCAAUGUCAUCGUCAACGGCACGAGGCGACGGCGUUUUGGUGGUCGGGGUGGUGGUGGGACCUCGCCUGAGGCGCUUGAGGAUCCGGGGCGGUUCAGGCCGGGAUUCAGGAUCCGAAUCCAUGACCUCAGGUCCGAAAUCUUCGUCACGGGGAGCCGGUGUUUGGGUCGGGUGUUUGUCCGGAGCUAUUUGGGGCUCCGAAUCGAGACCCAGAUCGAGUCCUAGGGAGAACGAGGGAGGUUCGUAUCCCGCCAUGAAAGAAACAGGAAGAAAGAGCUCAGUUUUGAACUUGGGGGAUAUUUUUAUUAGAGGGAAAAAUCUUGUUCAAAAAAAAAAAAAAAAAAAUUUCUAUGCCCAGUCUUUCAUGACCCAUUUCUCACUAUAUGAAAAUUUUUAUAUUGUUUAUAUUGUUUACAGUUGCGUGAGACUCAGAUUACUCUUCGAUAAUAGAACAUUCUAAUGUUGAUUUUGUUUUUUUAAUGGAUCAUUUUGAAGGUUUU
Molecule: long non-coding RNA, 513 nt
Organism: Quercus robur (English oak)
Lineage: Eukaryota; Viridiplantae; Streptophyta; Magnoliopsida; Fagales; Fagaceae
Exons: 2
Source: RefSeq, a predicted model, not a curated record